CAGGGGCGAAGUCAUGGGAGGCUGAGGGGCCCCGGGGGAAGUUCACGGGGCAGCUCCGCAGCAAAGGGAGGGAGACAGGCAGGGUCCUCUCCGGCCUCACCAUCCAGCUGCUGGUUUCUUAUAUUUGUUUUGUUCUUUUUGCACUACUAGGAUUGAACCCAGGCCCUUCGCACUGAGCUAUACCCCCAGCCCAUUUAUUUUUUUUGGAAACAAGGUCUCUAAAUUGCUAAACUGCCCAGGACGGGCUGGAACUUGCAACCCUCCUGCCUCAGCCUCCCAGAGUGCUGGGGUUUCAGGUGUGCGCCACCACGGCCCACCCAUGGUGGGGUUUUUAACAAAGGUCCACACAUCCUGCUCCUCCUCCCCCACAAGUAGGCGCCCGACUGUCCCCAGGCCAGGCUGGACUCUGGGACUCGCUUCCAAAAAUCACACCACCCAGGGAAAUGGCAACAAUACAGGGGUGGGGGCUUCUGGCCACCUGGUGACUGCCCAGCCCCGAGGUGCUGCUCCCAUGUGAGGGCUUCUCCUCCCCUGAGGUCUCUGCCCCUAACUCGCCAUCCGGUCUGGGUUCCAUCUCAGGGAGACACCCACCAACCUGCACGGGGGACGUGGGACAAAGUCACCCGCCGUCCUCUCCAGGAGCAGCAGGGCCACAAGGCUGAGGGACAGAGACAGGGAGUCAGGGCCACACGGGAAGCCGGGUCAGAUCUUAGACCCAAAGGAGACACUGGGUGGGAACCCGGUGCCACCCCGGACACCCAAGCUGAGCACCAUGUGGGCUCCUCUCUCCCUCUGGAGAGCGCCCGGCGGCCUGAGGUUUCUCUGUAACACACGUGCACUUUUCCUGCAAAUCCAAGCAACUCCUCAGGCCAUCAAUCAGCUCCCUGAGAAGCAGUCUUAGCGGGGUGUGUGUGUGUGUGUGUGUGUGUGUGUGGACCACUUGAGGGCACAGUAGUGUGACCACCCCGGGUCCCCAGGCGGAAACAGGGAUGGACUGCAGGCCAGGAGGCGACAGCAGGGCCAGGCCCUGGUGACAGCUUCCCGCCUACACCCCUCGCAGGCACAGGAUGGGGGCAUCCAGCUGUGAGAAGGAAAACGGGGACAGGACGGGGCCAGCGGGCCGAGGGGACCGGAGGACUGCAGUGCCUACGGCGAGGAGUCAGGAGCCCACUGGAGAGAGAAGCCGACCCCCCGGAGACAGUGCAGGUGGCAAGGGAGCACAGGUGACCGAGGCACGUCCACCCCUGACUGCCGGGGCGGCAGGGAAGCUGAGCAUGGAAUUAGCCGCACCUCGGCGGCCUGGCACGCGAUGCGAGACAUGACAGUGGCGGGCUGGGUUCCAGGGGCUACCUCCCACCUCGGCCACUCCACUCUCCUCGGCAUGCUGGCUUCACACGCCGUGCUGGCAUCGGUCUCCCUUUGCAAUGUCAGGCCACGGUCAUGGCCGUUCCCCGAGGCCCAGGCCAGC
RNAcentral lists this long non-coding RNA (1468 nucleotides) under Heterocephalus glaber (naked mole-rat). RNAcentral describes it as "lncRNA (ENSHGLG00100040814.1)". The record is from RNAcentral. Lineage: Eukaryota; Metazoa; Chordata; Mammalia; Rodentia; Bathyergidae.